This 252-nucleotide ribosomal RNA is filed under the name uncultured bacterium. RNAcentral describes it as "partial 16S ribosomal RNA". It matches the Rfam family "Bacterial small subunit ribosomal RNA", at positions 524 to 776 of the family's 1533-position model. The record is from RNAcentral.
UACGUAGGUCCCGAGCGUUGCCCGGAUUUAUUGGGCGUAAAGCGAGCGCAGGUGGUUUAUUAAGUCUGGUGUAAAAGGCAGUGGCUCAACCAUUGUAUGCAUUGGAAACUGGUAGACUUGAGUGCAGGAGAGGAGAGUGGAAUUCCAUGUGUAGCGGUGAAAUGCGUAGAUAUAUGGAGGAACACCGGUGACGAAAGCGGCUCUCUGGCCUGUAACUGACACUGAGGCUCGAAAGCGUGGGGAGCAAACAGG